CGGGGAGUACCUCAGCUGGUAGAGGCGUAGCUUUGGGUGCUACGAGCCGUGGGUUCGAAUCCCAUCUCCCCGACCA
RNAcentral lists this transfer RNA (76 nucleotides) under Planctomycetota bacterium. RNAcentral's name for it is "tRNA-Pro". It matches the Rfam family "tRNA". Rfam says of the family: Transfer RNA (tRNA) molecules are approximately 80 nucleotides in length. Their secondary structure includes four short double-helical elements and three loops (D, anti-codon, and T loops). Further hydrogen bonds mediate the characteristic L-shaped molecular structure. tRNAs have two regions of fundamental functional importance: the anti-codon, which is responsible for specific mRNA codon recognition, and the 3' end, to which the tRNAs corresponding amino acid is attached (by aminoacyl-tRNA synthetases). tRNAs cope with the degeneracy of the genetic code in two manners: having more than one tRNA (with a specific anti-codon) for a particular amino acid; and 'wobble' base-pairing, i.e. permitting non-standard base-pairing at the 3rd anti-codon position. RNAcentral also lists the same sequence under 1 other name. Lineage: Bacteria; Pseudomonadati; Planctomycetota. The record is from RNAcentral.